Molecule: long non-coding RNA, 326 nt
Filed under: Ricinus communis (castor bean)
Lineage: Eukaryota; Viridiplantae; Streptophyta; Magnoliopsida; Malpighiales; Euphorbiaceae
Description: long non-coding RNA (RCOM_LNC002104)
Source: RNAcentral
GAGGGUUGAGCACGGCCUGUACUCCGAACGUGCUGAAUUAUUAAGAAGCUGCCCCCAGAAGUGCCAUUUUGGCCCGGUUGCCGUAGCCACCACGGCUUCCACCAUAGACCAUGGUGGCUCUGCACCGGCUUGGGCAAGGCCUGAAAGAGGUUAACACAACAGAAUGCGCAGGUUCAGCACGGCCUAGACUCCGCCUAUGCUGACCAGUCCAGGCUUGACCACGACAGUGCUGAAGGGACUAUAUAGGCAAAAUCGAUUUAGUGAAUGAGGGUUCGAUUUUCUGACCUGAUUUCCAAUAUACACACUCAAUUCAUUUGUUUCUAAAC